CAGCCGCCACGGGAAUACGUAGGUGGCAAGCGUUGUCCGGAAUUAUUGGGCGUAAAGGGCUCGCAGGCGGUUUGUUAAGUCUGAUGUGAAAGCCCCCGGCUCAACCGGGGAGGGUCAUUGGAAACUGGGAAACUUGAGUGCAGAAGAGGAGAGUGGAAUUCCACGUGUAGCGGUGAAAUGCGUAGAGAUGUGGAGGAACACCAGUGGCGAAGGCGGCUCUCUGGUCUGUAACUGACGCUGAGGAGCGAAAGCGUGGGGAGCGAACAGGAUUAGAUACCCCCGUAGUCCCUGUCUCUUAUAC
Molecule: ribosomal RNA, 301 nt
Filed under: uncultured bacterium
Lineage: Bacteria
Description: partial 16S ribosomal RNA
Rfam family: Bacterial small subunit ribosomal RNA
Source: RNAcentral